CCUACGGGGGCAGCAGUGGGGAAUAUUGGACAAUGGGCGAAAGCCUGAUCCAGCCAUGCCGCGUGUGUGAAGAAGGCCUUCGGGUUGUAAAGCACUUUCAGUGGGGAAGAAAGCCUUGGGGCUAAUACCCUCGAGGAAGGACAUCACCCACAGAGGAAGCACCGGCUAACUCCGUGCCAGCAGCCGCGGUAAUACGGAGGGUGCGAGCGUUAAUCGGAAUUACUGGGCGUAAAGCGCGCGUAGGCGGUCUGAUAAGCCGGUUGUGAAAGCCCCGGGCUCAACCUGGGAACGGCAUCCGGAACUGUCAGGCUAGAGUGCAGGAGAGGAAGGUAGAAUUCCCGGUGUAGCGGUGAAAUGCGUAGAGAUCGGGAGGAAUACCAGUGGCGAAGGCGGCCUUCUGGACUGACACUGACGCUGAGGUGCGAAAGCGUGGGUAGCAAACAGGAUUAGAUACCCUAGUAGUC
RNAcentral lists this ribosomal RNA (464 nucleotides) under Vreelandella stevensii. RNAcentral describes it as "partial 16S ribosomal RNA". It matches the Rfam family "Bacterial small subunit ribosomal RNA", at positions 338 to 795 of the family's 1533-position model. Lineage: Bacteria; Pseudomonadati; Pseudomonadota; Gammaproteobacteria; Oceanospirillales; Halomonadaceae. The record is from RNAcentral.